RNAcentral lists this transfer RNA (67 nucleotides) under bovine gut metagenome. It matches the Rfam family "tRNA". From Rfam's summary of the family: Transfer RNA (tRNA) molecules are approximately 80 nucleotides in length. Their secondary structure includes four short double-helical elements and three loops (D, anti-codon, and T loops). The record is from RNAcentral.
CCAUUUAGCUCAGCGGUAGAGCGCCCGGCUGUUAACCGGUAGGUCGGAGGUUCGAUACCUCUAAUGG